This 4027-nucleotide ribosomal RNA is filed under the name Candidatus Nomurabacteria bacterium. Its description in RNAcentral is "23S ribosomal RNA". It matches the Rfam family "Bacterial large subunit ribosomal RNA". Lineage: Bacteria; Candidatus Nomuraibacteriota. The record is from RNAcentral.
UAAUAGGAAAGUAAGAGCAUAUGGUGGAUGCCUUGACUCUACAUGGCGAUGAAGGACGUAGCAGGCUGCGAUAAGCUUCGGGGAAGUGCCUAGCAACUUUUGAUCCGAAGAUCUCCGAAUGGGGGAACCCCAUCGAGUAAACCUCGAUGACUCUGUUCUUUAUGAAUAGAGAGUAUACCCAGGGAAGUGAAACAUCUCAGUACCUGGAGGAAAAGAAAACAAAGUCCGCAAGGACAAAAUUUCCGAAGUAGCGGCGAGCGAAAUGGAAAUAGCCCAAACCAAUUUUAUUUCGCAAGAAAUAAAGUCGGGGUUGUAAGGUGACAAUGACGUUUUAUUACGUGGAAAGUUACAAAAUGUACUAAUAGUUUAAGUUGUUGGAAAGCAACGCCACAGACGGUGAUAGCCCGGUAAGCGAAAUUAGUAUAUCUUUUUUAUUGUCAUUCUUGAGUACUUCAAGACAUGAAUAGCUUGGAGGAAUCCGGCAGAACUAACUGCCAAGGCUAAAUACGUGUAGAGAUCGAUAGUGAACUAGUACCGCGAGGGAAAGGUGAAAAGUAGUCCGAUAAGGACAGUGAAAUAGACCUGAAACCAUAUGCUUACAAGGAGUCGGAGCGGGCUGAACUUUGUGUAGAUCGUUUUGUAUUUUCUGUAAUGAAUUUAAAAGGUUCGUACAUUUAGAACGUGCGUGUUCUAAGGUAUAUCGGCGAAUUGUGGAUGUUUCGAUUGUAUUGAAACGUAGAAGCAAUUUACUGAGAGUGCCUAAAAUAUACGGAUAGAUUUUUUUUGAAUUCAUUAAGACAGGGUUUUGAUAUCAGACCCUGUUUAUUACAGAGAAUACAAAUUUGAUGUACAUAGUGUGCAGUCCGUCACGGCGUGCCUAUUGAAGAAUGAGCCAACGAGUUCUAGUAUGCUGCUUAGCUAAACUCUUACGAGUGGAGCUGCAGGGAAACCAAGUGUUAAUAGCGCGUAAUUGGUAGUCUACUAGAGACCCGAAGCCAGGUGAGCUACCCAUGAGCAGGAUGAAGGUGUGAGAAAUCACGCUGGAGGUCCGAACCGGUGAGCCGUACAAUACUCUCGGAUGACUUGUGGGUUGGAGUGAAAAGCUUAUCGAACUUGGUAAUAGCUGGUUCUCUCCGAAAUAGCUUUAGGGCUAGCGUCAUGUGUUCCUCUUGGGGGUAGAGCACUGGAAGAUUUCGACAGGGAGCAAUCUCGCGACAUCUAUCAAACUCCGAAUACCAAGAGUUAAAAAUAUGGCAGUUAGACUACGGGGGCGAAGCUCCGUUAGUCAAAAGGGAAACAGCCCAGAUCUCAAUUUAAGGUCCCUAAAUGUAUGCUAAGUGCAAGUCGAGGAUGUGAAAUUUCUUAGACAAUGAGGAUGUUGGCUUAGAAGCAGCCAUCAUUUAAAGAAAGCGUAACAGCUCACUCAUCAAGAGAUCUCGCGCCGUAGAUAAUCGGGGCUAAGCAUACUACCGAAACUGAGGAUUCGUGAACUUCAUAAAGGAGAAAAAUUUCUUUGUUGAAAAUUAAAGAAAGAAUGAUUCAUUUGAUCAUUCACUCCAUGUUCUUUGGAAGAUUGGAAAGAAGAUUGUAUUUUGAUUGGUGGUAAAUACUUCCAGCCGAGUCGCAUGUUGACACUCGACAUGAGGCAAGUGCCCGAUACAAUUUUCUUUUCUAGAGCAAGGUGUGUACAAACGCACCUUGUCUCCUUUAUGAAGUUCGCGAGUGGUAGGAGAGUAUUCGUAACCGCGUUGAAGCCGAAGGGGUGACCCACGGUGGAGCGUUGCGAAGUAAGAAUGUUGGCACAAGUAACCGCAAGGAGGGUGAGAGUCCCUCCCGUCGAAAGAUCAAGGUUUCCUUGGCUAUGACAAUCAGCCAAGGGUUAGUCGGGCCUAAGGGGAUGGCGAGAGCCGGACCUGAUGGACAGCAGGUUAAUAUUCCUGCACUUCUGUAUUAUGCGAUGAGAGGACGAAGGGUAGUAUGUCUCGCAGAUUAUUGGAUUUCUGUUUAGGAGCUGAGCGUGGUGUGUAGGAAAAUCCGCACAUUGCCUUUGAUGGCACAUGCAAGGUUAGUAGAAAGAUGGUGGUUCGCCACUGUCAAUGAGACAAAGCACGCUUCCAAGAAAAUUUUCUAAGCUUAAUGAUAUAGAAACCGUACCGCAAACCGACACAGGUGAUCAGGUCGAGAAGACCAAGACGAACGAGUGAGUGUUCCCCAAGGAACUCGGCAAAAAAGCAGCCGUAACUUUGGAAUAAGGCUUCCCCUUCCUACUUUGUUCUCAAUUUUUUUUUCAAAAAUUAACAAAGGAGGAAACAAUGAUUACAAUAAAAUUCAUUGGCGAAAAAAAUCAUACAUCUCCAAAAGUUGAGAUUUAUGAUGAAAACAAUACUUUAAUUGAUACUGUUAUAGUUAAGCAAGGAAAAGAAAUUUUCUUUCAAAGAGAAAAUGCUCUGAAGAGCAAAACUUUCCUAUCUGAUCCUAAAAGAAAAGUAACAGUUACAAUUGAGUAAGAUUGUUGAAUGCUCUUUAGCCUCCAAUGAUUCUAAAAUUAUUGAGACUAAAGUAGGAAGGGGCGCAGCGAAAGUAUCUCUGGCAACUGUUUAUCAAAAACACAGCUCCCUGCGAACUCGUAAGAGGAUGUAUAGGGGGUGACACCUGACCAAUGCGAGAAGGUCAAAUAUCGGCGGUUCUUCAUAGCCGCAAGGCUGUGAAGAGCUGACUGAUAUAAGCCCUCGUGAAUGUCGGCCGUAACUAUAACGGUCCUAAGGUAGCGAAGUACCUUGUCGGGUAAGUUCCGACGCGCACGAAUGGUGUAAUGACUGGAGAACUGUCUCGGGGAAUAGCUCGGUGAAAAUACAAUACCGGUGAAGAUGCCGGUUAAGUGCAGAUAGACGAAAAGACCCCGGAAGCUUUACUACAACUUGGUAUUGAGUAUGUUUUGUGGCUGCGUAGCAUAAGUGGGAGACUUUGAAGCAGAGAUCUCGGUUUCUGUGGAGUCGACAGUGCAAUACCACUCUUUCAUGUGGCAUAUUCUAAUCCUUGCGGCAAAAACGCAAAGAAACAGUAUCUGGUGGGUAGUUUUACUGGGGCGGUAUCCUCCUAAAGAGUAACGGAGGAGUUUAUUAAGGUUAGCUAGGCGCGUAUGGAAACCGUGCCGAUAGUGUAAUGGCACAAGCUAGCUUGACUGUAAGGGGUACAUCCCGAGCAGGUACGAAAGUAGAACAUAGUGAACCGAUGGUCCGCAUUAGAUGCGGCCGAAGAUUAACGGAUAGAAGCUACUCCGGGGAUAACAGGCUAGUUGCGCCUAAGAGUUCAUAUCGACGGCGCAGUUCGGCACCUUAACAUAUCGGGGUGCCAUGACAGUAAUGUCAUUAGCGUUUCCUCAUCGCGUUGUAGAUAGCGCGGUGAGGAAAAUAAAAUAAUUGGCUAUAUGCUGGAACUCUUAUCGUCAUUGAUAAGACAAUCAGCAGGGAAGGCCACAUGAGAUAGGCGAAGCCGGCCAUCUCACGUGGAACCCUCAGAGACUACACGCCAAUCUCCUACUCAUAUUUAUAUGAAAGAGGAAGAAGAUAUAGUCCGAUCCUUCUAGUGAUAGAAGCUUCUGGGGAGAAGUAAAAUUUAUUUCUCCCCAGAAUACAACGACAGCGAUGUCGGCUCACCUUAUCCUGGCGGUGGAGAAGCUGCCAAGGGUUUAGCUGUUCGCUAAUUAAAAAGGUACGCGAGCUGGGUUCAAACCGUCGUGAGACAGGUUGGUCUCCUAUCUACUGCACUCGUUGAUUCUUGAGAAGUGUUGCUCCUAGUACGAGAGGACCGGAGUGAACUGACCUCUGGUGUACCUGCUGUCUUGCCAAAGGCAACGCAGGGUAGCUAUGUCAGGCAUGGAUAACCUCUGAAAGCAUCUAAGAGGGAAGCCAUCUUCAAGAUGAGGAAUCGUUUGAGAAUCGUGAGAGAUGAUCACGUUGAUAGGCGUUAGGUGUACGCGCAGUAAUGCGUUGAGCCGAGACGUACUAAUUAUUCGAUUCCUAUUAGG